AUGGCAGGGAAGCACCGCAUAAGUCGCCAGUACUAUGAGGAACCGCGAGGAUUUCGUGAUGGUCCUCCUCCUCGACUUGCACAAGAAAGGUCUAUCUCACCACGUCGCUUCGAGGGAGAGCUGUCUAGCCGCCGUGAUGAGAUACGCAGAAUCCGUGAUGACAACCAACAUCUGGUGGAUGAAAUUGUUGGACUCAGGCAAGCAAUGUCCCAUUUGAAAGAAGAUCUCUAUUCCUCGAGUCAGGCUAUACCUAAGCUCCGCGCAGAGAAAGAACUUGAAUCGAGGGAGCUGACUCAGAGGAAUCUGAAGCUGGAAGCUGAGCUACGCUCUUUAGAACCUCAUAGGCAAGAUGCCUUGCAGCUACGAUCUGAAGUAGGCACGCUGCAGUCUUUGAGGCAAGAGUUGACUGAAAAGGUGCAGGGUCUAACAAAGGAGGUUGAGCAUCAGAACUCUGAAAAGCAGCGCAUAUCUGCCAUGGUAGCUGAAUGA
RNAcentral lists this ribosomal RNA (489 nucleotides) under Triticum aestivum (bread wheat). RNAcentral's name for it is "partial small subunit ribosomal RNA". Lineage: Eukaryota; Viridiplantae; Streptophyta; Magnoliopsida; Poales; Poaceae. The record is from RNAcentral.